RNAcentral lists this unclassified non-coding RNA (354 nucleotides) under soil metagenome. Its description in RNAcentral is "partial contains 5.8S ribosomal RNA, internal transcribed spacer 2, and large subunit ribosomal RNA". The stretch from base 1 to 120 matches the Rfam family "5.8S ribosomal RNA", at positions 35 to 154 of the family's 154-position model. The record is from RNAcentral.
GAUGAAGAACGUAGCGAAAUGCGAUAAGUAAUGUGAAUUGCAGAAUUCCGUGAAUCAUCGAAUCUUUGAACGCACAUUGCGCCCCCUGGCAUUCCGGGGGGCAUGCCUGUCCGAGCGUCAUUUCUGCCCUCCAGCCCGGCUGGGUGUUGGGCGCUGUCCCCCCGGGGACACGCCCCAAAGGCAGUGGCGGCGCCGCGUCGGGUCCUCGAGCGUAUGGGGCUUUGUCACCCGCUCGGGACGGACUCGUCGGCGCUGGUCUUCCUCCAGGCGACCCUUCGGGGCUCGUCUUCCUUCGGUUGACCUCGGAUCAGGUAGGGAUACCCGCUGAACUUAAGCAUAUCAAUAAGCGGAGGA